UCUACGGGAGGCAGCAGUGGGGAAUAUUGCACAAUGGGGGAAACCCUGAUGCAGCGACGCCGCGUGAGUGAGGAAGUAUUUCGGUAUGUAAAGCUCUAUCAGCAGGGAAGAAAAUGACGGUACCUGACUAAGAAGCCCCGGCUAACUAAGUGCCAGCAGCCGCGGUAAUACGUAGGGGGCAAGCGUUAUCCGGAUUUACUGGGUGUAAAGGGGGCGUAGACGGCUAAUAAAGUCAGAAGUGAACACCCAGGGCUCAACCUUGGGAGUGCUUGUGAAACUGAGGAGCUAGUGUGUAGGAGAGGUAAGCGGAAUUCCUAGGUGAGCGGUGAAAUGCGUAGAUAUUAGGAGGAACACCAGUGGCGAAGGCGGCUUACUGGACUGUAACUGACGUUGAGGCUCGAAAGCGUGGGGAGCAAACAGGAUUAGAUACCCUGGUUGUC
Molecule: ribosomal RNA, 440 nt
Filed under: uncultured bacterium
Lineage: Bacteria
Description: partial 16S ribosomal RNA
Rfam family: Bacterial small subunit ribosomal RNA
Source: RNAcentral